CCCUUAGAUGUCCGGGGCCGCACGCGCGCUACAAUGGAUGAAUCAACGCGUCAUCCUGGCCCGAAAGGGUUGGGGAACCGCUGAACCUCAUCCGUGGUUGGGAUUGGGGUUUGUAAUUAUUCCCCAUGAACUAGGAAUUCCCAGUAAGCGCGAGUCAUCAGCUCGCGUUGAUUACGUCCCUGCCCUUUGUACACACCGCCCGUCGCUACUACCGAUUGGAUGGUUUAGUGAGACCCUCGGAUCGGUCCCGACUCGGGGUGGGCUUCUGCCCCGGUCGUGGUUUCGCCGAGAAGACGGUCAAACUUGACUAUCUAGAGGAAGUAAAAGUCGUAACA
This 335-nucleotide ribosomal RNA is filed under the name uncultured eukaryote. RNAcentral describes it as "partial 18S ribosomal RNA". It matches the Rfam family "Eukaryotic small subunit ribosomal RNA", at positions 1470 to 1796 of the family's 1831-position model. The record is from RNAcentral.